Molecule: ribosomal RNA, 253 nt
Filed under: uncultured bacterium
Lineage: Bacteria
Description: partial 16S ribosomal RNA
Rfam family: Bacterial small subunit ribosomal RNA
Source: RNAcentral
UACGUAGGGUGCGAGCGUUAAUCGGAAUUACUGGGCGUAAAGCGUGCGCAGGCGGUUUUGUAAGUCGGGUGUGAAAUCCCCGGGCUCAACCUGGGAACUGCAUCCGAGACUGCAUUGCUAGAGUAUGGGAGAGGGAAGCGGAAUUUCUGGUGUAGCAGUGAAAUGCGUAGAUAUCAGAAGGAACAUCAGUGGCGAAGGCGGCUUCCUGGACCAAUACUGACGAUCAGGUGCGAAAGCGUGGGGAGCAAACAGG